Molecule: ribosomal RNA, 760 nt
Filed under: uncultured archaeon
Lineage: Archaea
Description: bacterial SSU rRNA
Rfam family: Archaeal small subunit ribosomal RNA
Source: RNAcentral
CGAAGGUCCCCGGCUCCGGGGGCCUGGCAGACGGCUCAGUAACACGUGGCCAACCUGCCCUCGGGAGGGAGAUAACCCCUUGGGAAACUGGGGUUAAACCUCCAUAAGCGGCGGAAUCUGGAAGGAUCCGCCGCCGAAAGUGGUGUACGGGGAUGCUCCGUGCACCAGCCCGAGGAUGGGGCUGCGGCCCAUCAGGUUGUUGGCGGGGUAAUGGCCCGCCAAGCCUAUAACGGGUACGGGCCCUGGGAGGGGGAGCCCGGAGAUGGGCUCUGAGACAAGAGCCCAGGCCCUACGGGGCGCAGCAGGCGCGAAACCUCCCCAAUGCCCGAAAGGGUGAGGGGGUCACCCCGAGUGCCGGCUUCGUGCCGGCUUUUGCCGGGUCUAAACAGCCCGGCGAAUAAGGGGGGGGCAAGACGGGUGUCAGCCGCCGCGGUAAUACCCGCCCCCCGAGUGGUGGGGACUAUUACUGGGCUUAAAGCGCCCGUAGCCGGCCGGGUAUGUCCUCCGUUAAAUCCACGGGCCUAACCCGUGGGCUGCGGAGGAUACUACCCGGCUUGGGGGUGGGAGAGGGCGGCGGUAUUCCCGGGGUAGGGGUAAAAUCCACUGAUCCCGGGAGGACCACCAGUGGCGAAGGCGGCCGCCCAGAACACGCCCGACGGUGAGGGGCGAAAGCUGGGGGAGCGAACGGGAUUAGAUACCCCGGUAGUCCCAGCUGUAAACAAUGCGGGCUAGGUGUCGGGUGGGCUACGGGCUCACCCGG